Long non-coding RNA from Mauremys reevesii (Reeves's turtle), 333 nucleotides. RefSeq lists it as uncharacterized. The record is from RefSeq and is a predicted model, not a curated record. Lineage: Eukaryota; Metazoa; Chordata; Testudines; Geoemydidae. The transcript is spliced from 3 exons.
CCAUCAGCGAGCCACUUGCCCGGCAGGAGCUGCGCAGGGCCCUUCUCCUGCUGGGCUACCGGUUCAGCGAGGAGGUGGUCGGAACCCUGCUGGGCUGCUCACGGUCAUGUGACAGUGUUGCUGCGGAGAUGUGGAAGAUGCUGACAUCCCAGCCCAACACCUCAAGAAAGAUCCUUGGGGAGCUGGUCAGCAGGCUGCAGGAGCCGGCUCGGCGACGGUAUCAGCUCUCUGAGAGACCGGCUGGCUUCCCCCCCUUGGCCCUGCAGGCCACAAGAGCCCUGUAUGUGAUCCUGCAGGAGCAGGCCUGCAGGCAGGAGGUGAAGGAGCUCUUCC